AGUGAACGCUGGCGGUAGGCCUAACACAUGCAAGUCGAACGGCAGCACAGUAAGAGCUUGCUCUUACGGGUGGCGAGUGGCGGACGGGUGAGGAAUACAUCGGAAUCUACUUUUUCGUGGGUGAUAACGUAGGGAAACUUACGCUAAUACCGCAUACGACCUACGGGUGAAAUCAGGGGAUCUUCGGACCUUGCGCGAUUGAAUGAGCCGAUGUCGGAUUAGCUAGUUGGCGGGGUAAAGGCCCACCAAGGCGACGAUCCGUAGCUGGUCUGAGAGGAUGAUCAGCCACACUGGAACUGAGACACGGUCCAGACUCCUACGGGAGGCAGCAGUGGGGAAUAUUGGACAAUGGGCGCAAGCCUGAUCCAGCCAUACCGCGUGGGUGAAGAAGGCCUUCGGGUUGUAAAGCCCUUUUGUUGGGAAAGAAAAGCAGCAGGUUAAUACCCCGCUGUUCUGACGGUACCCAAAGAAUAAGCACCGGCUAACUUCGUG
This 492-nucleotide ribosomal RNA is filed under the name uncultured bacterium. RNAcentral describes it as "partial 16S ribosomal RNA". It matches the Rfam family "Bacterial small subunit ribosomal RNA", at positions 29 to 507 of the family's 1533-position model. The record is from RNAcentral.